RNAcentral lists this ribosomal RNA (468 nucleotides) under uncultured bacterium. RNAcentral's name for it is "partial 16S ribosomal RNA". It matches the Rfam family "Bacterial small subunit ribosomal RNA", at positions 28 to 507 of the family's 1533-position model. The record is from RNAcentral.
GACGAACGCUGGCGGCGUGCUUAACACAUGCAAGUCGAACGGAAAGGCCCUGCUUUUGUGGGGUGCUCGAGUGGCGAACGGGUGAGUAACACGUGAGUAACCUGCCCUUGACUUUGGGAUAACUUCAGGAAACUGGGGCUAAUACCGGAUAGGAGCUCCUGCUGCAUGGUGGGGGUUGGAAAGUUUCGGCGGUUGGGGAUGGACUCGCGGCUUAUCCGCUUGUUGGUGGGGUAGUGGCUUACCAAGGCUUUGACGGGUAGGCGGCCUGAGAGGGUGACCGGCCACAUUGGGACUGAGAUACGGCCCAGACUCCUACGGGAGGCAGAAGUGGGGAAUAUUGCACAAUGGGCGGAAGCCUGAUGCAGCAACGCCGCGUGCGGGAUGACGGCCUUCGGGUGGUAAACCGCUUUCGCCUGUGACGAAGCGUGAGUGACGGUAAUGGGUAAAGAAGCACCGGCUAACUACGUG